AUAUAAAAAUAUGUUAUUCUUAGGCCUUGUCUGUCACUGGGCCUCGCCCGCUAUAUGUAUACAGUCAAUAUCGCAUAAUCAUGCUAACACAUAUAAUAAUCAUAAAUUCUAAGAUAUGUGUGACAUCCCCAUAAUCUCGGCCAAAAAAGACCGAUUUUCAUUUAUGCUUUUAAAUAUUUUCAGAGUAAAUCCUUUUGAUUUGAAAGAGUUGCGGAAUUUGUUCCCAAAAACAAAACAUGAUAAAACAUUGUUUACCGAAGCAUUUCAUAAAAGAAAUGUAUUUUCAUUAUAAUCAAAACUCGGGGUGUCAUGUUCCGAUACAGACCAAUAAGCAUAAACGAAUACAUUACAAGUCAUAUAACAAAUAUAAACAUAUGCAGACUUGUAAACAAAACAACUUGAUGGUUCAUCCAUCUCAUGCCCUUCCGCCACUACCUGUAAUACAAUUUAAAACUGAGUGGGUCAGGCUUGGGAGCCUGGUGAGCAUAUAGGGUUUUCAACCCACAAUAAAUAUCAUAUUUAAUUUUCACCAACCAACAAUAACCCAAUUACCCAUUCCCGUUAUUCUCACUUUAAUGUCCCUAAAACAACUAACAUAAGGGACCUAGUCUAAGAAUAUUUCAUCGGGGCGACAACACAUGCUUCGGGGGUACCUCAGCAAUAUAAGUCAAAUAAGGCAACCAUGAGGGGGAUGGAGUACAGCGAAUGAACACCCAAGUUCAUUAACACCUACAGGUGGCGAACCUGCUAAUGUUUCCACAAGACUGUCUAGAAUAGCCAGUGGUCGUCAUCUAAACUCCGCUAGAUGACUCAAUCAAACAACAACGAGGCCUCUCAUCUGUUUAUUACACACCAACUGUCUACCCAUGUUCUACCCAACAUAUUAGUAGAUAAAAAUAUACAUUUGUAUACAUAGUUUAAAGAAAACCUGUAUAGCAUGCUUUAAUCAACACAUAUAUCACAUAACAGAUGAGGCACACACACACAUAACACAUAUCUCAUAAAGAAAUAAGCAGAUCUAUAAGAUAGAAGAGAGUGAAUACUCAUUCACACAUAACACAACCAAAUAUAUACACAUAGCACGUAUUUUUAUAUAAAAUACUUCGUAUUAUUGUAUUAGAAGAAAUAACUACACACUCACUUGAUCAGAAGAUGAUCGGACAGCACUACGGCUUAUAGAAGUAGUAAUCCACAGCAGAUCUGGAAGAUCUUCUCGAAAAUCGAACUUCUCGCGGGCAGAGCUUCGACUCGGGAACCGCACUUUUCGGGAUCUUCGGGAUCUCGGGACUUGCCUCGGGGCUAGAGUAUGAUACCGGGACUUCGGGGUAGCUUCGGGGGUUUUUGCACAGAGCUUCGACACGAAAACGAGAGGGAAUUGGCAAAAAUACCCGGAACCCUCGCAUCCUAUUUAUAGGAGGCUGGAGCCUCGGAGUACGCGGGGCGUACUGCGUUACGCGGGGCGUACUGCCCAAAACGUCAUUGCUUACGUAUCCGAAGUGCUCGAGUGCGAGUGUCGACAUCCCUCGGAGUACGCGGGGCGUACUCGAGUACGCGGGGCGUACCUCGGAUCAGAUCGGUGACUCCUUCGGAUAAUGCUUCCGAAUUUUGAUUUAAAUAUAAAUACAAAAUGAUUAAUAAACUUCGGAAAUUCAUAACUUCUUCAUACGAACUCCGUUUUCGACGUUCUUUAUAUCCACGCGAAGGUGAGACCACGCUCUACGACUUUCGUUUAGACUCCGUCGGCUAAUUUUGACUUUAUUUUUAUUAAUUAUUUUUAAUAGGCCGGGACAGAAACUUUCGUUAUAAAUUCAUAACUUCUUCGUUUGACGUCCGUUCUCGCCUAACUUUUUAUCGUUUCAAUACCAACAAUGAGAUCUUCGAUUCUCAUUUAGAUUGCUUCGGCUAACAACCGCUCGAUCUCAAAUCGAGUAAAACAGGCUGUAUAUCGCUAAGCCGGAACUUCGAUAAAUCAUAACUUCCUCAUACGAAGUCAGAUUUGGGCGUUCUAUAUAUAUUCGGAAACCUCGUUUCAACUACUACAACAUUAACCAAAUAUAUUAAGUUUAUUUUACACUUAAAUUUUGACGCUUAUUUUUAUUCUUAAUUAAUCAAACCACAUAAUUAAGCAAUUAAGCACAAAACACACAAUACUCAAAUAAUACAAUCUUAUUAUUUCAAAACGGGUUACAGAGGUUAACCUAGACUAUUACAUUGCUACAAAUGGCAAGCCCGAAACACAGGCGUUACAAUUCUCUCCACCUUAGAAUGAUUCCGUCCCCGGAAUCACACAUCAACAAACAAAUGCGGAUAGCGACUCAACAUGUCACUCUCCGUCUCCCAGGUGAGAUUCGGCCCAUUCGUGUGUUUCCAUCGGACAAGCACUAACCCAACCAUUUUGCGUCGCAACUUCUUAGUCUUUCGGUCAACAAUUGCCUCUGGUUCUUCAAUCAACCUUUUGUUCUCAUCAAUUCUCAAUUCAGAAAUUGGAAUUAUAUCGGGAACUUCUCCCGUGAACUUCCUCAAAUAACACACAUGAAAGGUGUUGUGAAUUCCAUUCAGUUCUUCGGGUAAUUCGAGCUUGUAAGCUUGAUUCCCAAUCCUCUGAAGGACUCUAAACGGUCCAAUAAACCUUGGACUCAACUUUCCCCUUUUACCAAAUCUUAUAAGUCCCUUCCACGGCGAGACUUUAAGCAAAACCGAAUCUCCAACCUCAAAAGUCAUCGGUCUUCGCUUCUUGUCAGCAUAGCUCUUUUGACGAUCUUGAGCUGCUAACAUUCUUUCCCUAAUUAUUUUCAACUUUUCAGCAGUUUGAUGAACCAACUCCGGUCCCAUAAACUGCUUUUCCCCAGCCUCAAGCCAACAAGACGGCGUACGACACUUCUGUCCAUACAAAGCUUGAUAAGGUGCCAUCUUAAUGCUCGAGUGAAAACUAUUAUUAUAGGAAAAUUCUACCAACGGUAAAUGUUCAUCCCAAUUACCUAGGAAUUCCAAGGUACAUGCUCUCAGCAUAUCUUCAAGUGUUUGUAUUGUUCUUUCACUCUGACCAUCAGUCUGCGGAUGGUAAGCUGUGCUUAAACAUAACUUGGUACCCAUUUCCUCUUGUAGACUUUUCCAAAACCUUGAGGUGAAACGGCUAUCACGAUCCGAUACAAUCGUUAACGGAACACCGUGAAGCCUCACAAUUUCCUUCACGUAAGAAUUCGCAAGCUUUUCCAUAGACCAUUUCUCCCUGGCCGCUAUGAAAUGCGCACUCUUAGUGAAUCGAUCAACGACCACCCAAAUCAUGUCGUGACCAUUCUUUGUUCUGGGCAGUUUAGUGACAAAAUCCAUAGCAAUGUCUUCCCACUUACCCAUAGGCACAGGCAAAGGUUCUAAACUCCCGUACGGUUUCUGAUGUUGUGUCUUGACUCUCGCACAAGUCACACACUCGGCCACAUACUUUGCAACAUCAAGCUUCAUCGUCGGCCACCAGUAGUAGGGUUUCAGGUCCCUAUACAUUUUAGUGCUACCCGGAUGAAUCGAGUACAUGGUCUUGUGAGCUUCUUCCAUCAGAAGAUCUCUAAUUCCUCCUGACUUAGGUACCCAAAUACGAUCUUGGAAUACCUUCAGUCCAUGACCGUUAGUACCAAACACCAACGUUUUACCCAAACGUUCCUCCUUUCGGUCAUUUUUCUCAGAAGCUUCCUCUUGAGCUUUCUUUAUACUUUCCACAAUGGUCGAGACAACUUCAAUUCUCAACGCUCUUGGCCUCUUCCUUUCAAGAUUGACCUUCCGACUGAGAGCAUCAGCAACAACAUUAGCUUUACCGGGGUGGUAAAGUAUCUCGCAGUCGUAGUCUUUAAGUAAUUCUAGCCAGCGUCGUUGCCUCAUAUUCAAUUCUUUCUGAUUAAAGAGGUAUUGGAGACUCUUAUGAUCAGUGAAAAGUUUGCACUUCGUGCCAUAGAGGUAAUGCCUCCAUAUUUUCAGAGCGAAAACUACCGCUGCCAACUCCAAAUCAUGAGUCGGGUAAUUCUUUUCAUGCUCUUUCAGCUGUCGAGACGCAUAUGCUAUCACCUUUUCUCUUUGGGUCAAAACACAACCCAAUCCAACACCAGACGCAUCGCUAUAAACAGCGAAGUCUUCAACUCCAUCGGGUAGAGAAAGUAUCGGUGCCUCGCAUAGCUUCUUCUUUAACUUCUCGAAUGCUUCUUUAUGCUUCUCACUCCAAGCAUAAGUAGCUCCUUUGUGGGUCAAAGCUGUUAAUGGAGUAGCAAUCGAAGAAAAGCCUUGGAUAAACCUUCGGUAAUAUCCGGCUAAUCCUAAAAAGCUUCGAAUCUCCGUGGGACUUUUCGGUUGUUCCCACUUCGUCACAGCUUCGAUCUUCGCUGGAUCAACCAUUAUCCCUUCUUGGUUGACCACGUGACCCAAGAAUUGGACUUCACGAAUCCAAAAAUCACAUUUGGAGAACUUCGCAUAAAGCUUCUCCUUCUUCAAAACUUCUAACACUUCUCGCAAGUGUCUGCCAUGCUCCUCCUGGCUUUUCGAGUAGAUCAGAAUGUCGUCUAUGAACACUAUCACGGAUUUAUCAAGGAAAGGAUUACAAACCCUAUUCAUCAAAUCCAUGAACGCUGCUGGAGCAUUGGUUAGUCCAAACGACAUAACCAAGAACUCGUAGUGUCCAUAUCUAGUUCUGAAUGCAGUCUUCUCGAUAUCUUGCUCUCUUACUUUCAGCUGAUGAUAUCCUGACCUAAGAUCGAUCUUCGAGAAAUAGCUCGAACCUUGCAAUUGAUCAAACAGGUCAUCAAUCCUCGGCAACGGAUAUCUAUUCUUUAUUGUUGCCUUGUUCAGCUCUCUGUAAUCGAUGCACAUUCUCAUACUUCCAUCUUUCUUCUUUACAAAUAACACCGGAGCUCCCCAGGGCGAUGAACUAGGUCUAAUGAAACCUUUGUCCAAUAACUCCUGAAGUUGCAUCAUUAGCUCCUUCAUCUCCGUCGGUGCUAAUCGAUAAGGUGCUUUUGCUAUUGGCGUGGUUCCUGGUAACAAGUCUAUUCUGAACUCCACUUGUCUAUCAGGUGGUAAUCCAGGAAGAUCCUCGGGAAAUACUUCCGGAUAAUCACACACCACUGGAAUGCUCUGCAUCACCUUCUUUUCUUUCUUAGCAUCAAUCACGAAUGCUAAAUAUGAUGUACAUCCCUUGGUCAAACACUUUCUGGCUUUCAUUAGAGAAAUGAUUCCAGAAUUCACUCUGCGUUUGUCCCCAUACACCAUAAACGAAUCUUUUCCAGGCGGGUUUACUUUAACUAUCUUCUUCUUGCACAAAAUUUCGGCAUCAUUGGCGCUAAGCCAAUCCAUUCCCAAGACGAUGUCGAAACCAUUUAGUUCGAUAGGCAAUAAUUCCUCGAGAAACUUAUUCCCAUUAAGGUCGAUCAAGACGUUUUUCAUACGAUGGCUAACAGGUACAAACUUGCCACUAGCUACUUCGACUAAUAAAGCAUUAUUUAGUCUAUCAACAGGCAAAGCUAGCUUUCUACCAAACUCAUGCGAAAUAAAGGAGUAGUUGGCUCCAGAAUCAAACAAUAUAUGAGCAGGUAAUUCGUUUACGAGAAAGGUACCUGAAGCGACAUCAGCUUCAUCUUUCGCAGCCUCAAGUGUCAUCUGGAAGGCUCUCGCCUUCGGCUUUGGUGGAAUGUUGGGCCUAGCUGCCUCCUUCUUCUUCGGACAGUCUUUCAAAAUAUGCCCCUCUUCAUUACAACCAAAACACAUCCUUUUGUUGUUCGGACAUUCAUUGGCAAAAUGUCCAACCUUUCCACACUUGUAGCAGGUCACAUCCUCGCUACAUUUCCCAAAGUGCUUUUUCUUACACUUAUCACACCACUUUGCUUCGCCUCCUUUUCCUCCAAACUUUUUCGAAUCAGAUUUCGAAAAUUUGCUCUUCUUACUGGAACCAGAUGUUCCUUCAAACUUCCUUUUCUCACCAACCUCAACCUUGACGGUGGUUCUCCCCUUGAUCAUGUUCUCCACAGACUUGGCAGCCCAGAUAGCUGCCUCUAGAGUAAGUGCCUGACGUACCGGCACCUCGUACUCCCAUGGAAGUCCCUUCGCAUACCGAUCCACCUUUGUCAGCUCGUCUGGAACGAUACGCAAGGCAAACUCCAUCUUAUCGGUGAAGUUAUUGGUGUAUUCAUCAACUGACAUGCUACCCUUCGUCAAUGUCAAAAACUUAUUCUCCAACUCCAACAGAUUUUGAGCCGAGCAGAACUUGCGCUUGAACUGCACCAAGAACUCUGCCCAUGACAAUUGCAGUGGCUCAUUAGGGCUUAAGGUCUUCCCUAGAGUGUUCCACCAACGAACGGCUCCACCUCGGAAUUGUCGCACGGCAUAGAUAGUCUGCAACUUACCUCUGCAGCCACAUGUCAUAAAGGCUAACUCCAUUUCGGAGAUCCAAUCCAUAACCCCAAUCGGAUCCUCCUUUCCAUUGAAGGUCGAUGGUUUGCAAGUCAAAAAGUCCUUGUACUUGCAUCCCAUUCCAUCAUUCCUUCCUUCAUGGUUAUCUUGCCUAACUAUCGGUGGGUUGGCUGGACCAACAGACCCACUGAAGUUUCCACCUUCCGAGUGCCCUUCAUUUAAUUCAGGCUCUUCCACACGAAUCGACAGUUCUUCACGAUUUUGUUGAAGCAACCGUCUAGUUUCAUCCAUCUGACGAUCCAACAUCGUCUGAAUCAUCAAUUGCACACCAGCCAUGGUUAUUGGCUCAGGUGCUGCUGCUACGACAGGUAUUGGCUCAAUCACUGGUGGUUGAUUCCUGUUUUCGUCAGCAUUUCCAACUCCACUUCUUGUUCUCACCAUUUUGAUCUACACCCCGAAUAAGGUGAAAUUAGAUCCUCAAUCAUGAUAGAUAUUCAAAUCAUCCUUAUCACUCCGAAACGUUUACAUGCUAGUUCUAAUAUCGUAGACGUACGCUUAGAAUCCUACACACAUAAGGUUUCUAGAUCCGGUCGGCAACAGACCAUAGAUCCGAACAAAUAAUAUCAUAUAUGGCAACAUAUAACAUUUAGCACAUAAAGCAUUUUAGGCAACUUUCCUAAAAUAAACUAGUGCUCGUGUCUAAAACACAACAGACACACAUCUCAAAACUUCACUUAGCAUUCUAAGUUUAAGUCUAGAAAUCCUACAAAUUCCUAGUUCGCUUAAACUAAUGCUCUGAUACCAACUGUGACAUCCCCAAAAUCUCGGCCAGAAAAGACCGAUUUUCAUUUAUGCUUUUAAAUAUUUUCAGAGUAAAUCCUUUUGAUUUGAAAGAGUUGCGGAAUUUGUUCCCAAAAACAAAACAUGAUAAAACAUUGUUUACCGAAGCAUUUCAUAAAAGAAAUGUAUUUUCAUUAUAAUCAAAACUCGGGGUGUCAUGUUCCGAUACAGACCAAUAAGCAUAAACGAAUACAUUACAAGUCAUAUAACAAAUAUAAACAUAUGCAGACUUGUAAACAAAACAACUUGAUGGUUCAUCCAUCUCAUGCCCUUCCGCCACUACCUGUAAUACAAUUUAAAACUGAGUGGGUCAGGCUUGGGAGCCUGGUGAGCAUAUAGGGUUUUCAACCCACAAUAAAUAAUCAUAUUUAAUUUUCACCAAUAAACAAUAACCCAAUUACCCAUUCCUAUUAUUCUCACUUUAAUGUCCCUAAAACAACUAACAUAAGGG
This 7675-nucleotide long non-coding RNA is filed under the name Lactuca sativa (garden lettuce). RNAcentral's name for it is "long non-coding RNA (LSAT_LNC002210)". Lineage: Eukaryota; Viridiplantae; Streptophyta; Magnoliopsida; Asterales; Asteraceae. The record is from RNAcentral.